RNAcentral lists this ribosomal RNA (1614 nucleotides) under Triticum aestivum (bread wheat). RNAcentral describes it as "partial small subunit ribosomal RNA". The record is from RNAcentral. Lineage: Eukaryota; Viridiplantae; Streptophyta; Magnoliopsida; Poales; Poaceae.
AUGACGAAGGAGGAAGAGUUGUGUCAGGCCCAGCUCAAGCUAGAUGAAGAAGAGGAGGCCAGAAAGAGAGAAUCAGCAAGGCAGAAGCCUUUUGAUCUCAAGGCACGAUUCUGCGGGUUGAGGAGCGAGGAGCUGGGCAAGGAGUCACUGCCGGUUCACAUGACCAAGAAGGGGAAGAGCACUACCACUUUUUCAGAAUUUGAUUUUGUGAACCUUCAUGUUGCACUAUCACAUAUUGCACAUGAGUUGAUUCAGGUUUCCAGAGUUCAGACCACAACAAUCAAUCGGUCUGAAGGUGCUCCUGUUUUAUAUCAGAUCGUGAGGAAUGGGGACCCUUUUUGGAUAUUUGACUACUAUAUUUGCAUGCCGGAGUUCGCCGCCGUCUGCCGUGCUGUGAUUUUUGGGUAUGAUGCUAGAUUACGUGGUUGCAUAGUUCCUUCUUUUUCUUCUUCAAAUUCAAUAUUCUUGGGUCAUGGUGUGCUCAUGCUGAUUUGCAGCCCGGAUGAUAGUCCGUGGGAGGGAGAUUUAUUAUAUGGGUUGCUACGUGACUUGGCUCGUCCGAAUCAGGUGUACGCGAGGACGAGAACCCCACCUAAGCCCUCGCUCGCUCGCCGGAAUCUAGGGCGGCCGCGGCGGCCGGGAGCAGACGCGCGCGGGAGGAGUAGUUCGGGUCCGCGCCGCAACCCUUUGCCUCGGCCACCACCGCCGUCCGCGCCGCCGCCCUUUGUCGUCGCCACCACCGCCGUCCUCGCCGCAUCCACCACCAUCGUCCAAACUUCUCUCGGCCGUUGCCGGGGAUCCGGCCGCGCAACAAAUCCAUCGCAAAGGAUCUCAAGGCCUGCCGCCCUGCCCGGCGCACCCAUCCAGAGGCACAUGUUCUCCACAGAUCCAUUGGAUCCCUUGCCGCCUCUCAUCCUCCUUUUUCAUCGUGGCUUGCCCUGGAUGCUAGAUUCUGCAAUUCCUCACCUGCACGGAAGGCUUUUUCCUAAAGGGAUUGAGAUUACCAGGAUUCAGAUUGGAUCCCUGCUGUGUCAGUGCGGAGAACUGCUCGAACACCUUCCAAUCUCGCCAACUUCGCUGGAGAAUCGUGCGCCCGUGCUCGAGCAGAGUUUUGGCGGCCUUCUGUGUGAGGUAGACUUGACUGAUGAGGGCUUGAAAAGGGGCCUUGGUUGUCUGUCAACUGAAAACUCUGUUUGUGCACAACCUAUAUCCUCUAUGAGAAGGAACUGGAUGGAGCAAGAGAUGACUGUCAACUCAGUGCAAUGGUUAGAGCAAAGUAAGGUAUGCAAAGAAGUUGGAUUUGCGACAAUAUCACAUGAAUCCUUCUUCAGGUUAUUUCCAAAUGUCCAGUUUUAUGAGAGGAAGAUUAGCAUGGCGGCCAAGUUGAAGGUGCACUUCCACGCCGGCGGCCCGAUCUCGACGGCAAUCCGACGCAGGCGGCGUCCACCAACAGCUCCUCCUCCAAGGACGAGGUGCCAUGGGCAGGGGUAUAAUUCCGCGAAAUGCAAUGUGGAGUUGUCUGUUGAUCCCUCCUGGACUAGACCCAUAUACUUUGAUAACAGUGUUGUUCUCUGUACGUUGGAAUUGGGCCAGUUCAUCUCCCUGUUCAAUUGA